This 205-nucleotide ribosomal RNA is filed under the name uncultured bacterium. RNAcentral's name for it is "partial 16S ribosomal RNA". It matches the Rfam family "Bacterial small subunit ribosomal RNA", at positions 133 to 334 of the family's 1533-position model. The record is from RNAcentral.
CGGGUUGGGGAAUAGCCAGUCGAAAGAUUGGCUAAUACCGCAUAAUGCAGCGGCUCGACAUCGAGACAGUUGUUAAAGCAGCAAUGCGCCUAAGGAGGAGCCUGCGUCUGAUUAGCUUGUUGGUGAGGUAAAAGCUCACCAAGGCUGCGAUCAGUAGCUGGUCUGAGAGGACGGCCAGCCACAAUGGCACUGAAACACGGGCCAU